AAAUCCGCUAAGGAGUGUGUA
This 21-nucleotide small nuclear RNA is filed under the name Arabidopsis thaliana (thale cress). RNAcentral's name for it is "snRNA_10635". The record is from RNAcentral. Lineage: Eukaryota; Viridiplantae; Streptophyta; Magnoliopsida; Brassicales; Brassicaceae.